RNAcentral lists this ribosomal RNA (498 nucleotides) under Pseudomonas sp. 3S2.E9. RNAcentral describes it as "bacterial SSU rRNA". It matches the Rfam family "Bacterial small subunit ribosomal RNA", at positions 38 to 531 of the family's 1533-position model. Lineage: Bacteria; Pseudomonadati; Pseudomonadota; Gammaproteobacteria; Pseudomonadales; Pseudomonadaceae. The record is from RNAcentral.
GGCGGCAGGCCUAACACAUGCAAGUCGAGCGGUAGAGAGAAGCUUGCUUCUCUUGAGAGCGGCGGACGGGUGAGUAAUGCCUAGGAAUCUGCCUGGUAGUGGGGGAUAACGCUCGGAAACGGACGCUAAUACCGCAUACGUCCUACGGGAGAAAGCAGGGGACCUUCGGGCCUUGCGCUAUCAGAUGAGCCUAGGUCGGAUUAGCUAGUUGGUGAGGUAAUGGCUCACCAAGGCGACGAUCCGUAACUGGUCUGAGAGGAUGAUCAGUCACACUGGAACUGAGACACGGUCCAGACUCCUACGGGAGGCAGCAGUGGGGAAUAUUGGACAAUGGGCGAAAGCCUGAUCCAGCCAUGCCGCGUGUGUGAAGAAGGUCUUCGGAUUGUAAAGCACUUUAAGUUGGGAGGAAGGGCAGUAAAUUAAUACUUUGCUGUUUUGACGUUACCGACAGAAUAAGCACCGGCUAACUCUGUGCCAGCAGCCGCGGUAAUACAGAGG